Molecule: non-coding RNA, 1317 nt
Organism: Plectropomus leopardus (leopard coralgrouper)
Lineage: Eukaryota; Metazoa; Chordata; Actinopteri; Perciformes; Serranidae
Source: RefSeq, a predicted model, not a curated record
AAUGCUGUGUGAUUAUCUGUGAUGAUUGUGCCAAACCCAACAGUCAAGAGGGAAGACUGACGGUAAAAAGACACAAGAUAAAUGCCAAUGGGAUUCAUUUGUGAGAAUGGGACCAAACGGAAUGGGCUGCUACACUUCUUUUAAGUGUGUUUGUGAAGGGAUUUUGGAGAUCAACACCUCAGUACCUGACUGCAUCUUCCAUGACAUCAUACUGAAUCCGGACAAUACUCCAAAGGAUUGCCUAAGUUGUUUUCAAGACUAUGCAACAGUUAACUCUGGGAAUCAAAGUCAUUGCAACACAGCUCAGUGGGGCAGUGAUAUCAAAUAGAAACGAUGAUCAUCAUAACAGUAACCUCCAGUGCUGUGGUUAAGACAACUUCUGCUGACAUGAAACAGGAUUACUGGAUUAAUUUUACAAGAGAUACAUCUGAACAUCCAAGGCUGGAGUCACAUGUCCUGAAGAAUUAUCUUUUCCAGUCCAAUGUGAGACUGACCCUGAUGGUUUGAAUAGAGUUGUGGUGUAUGGUGAUCGGACUUAUGAAAUCAUUUCUGGUCGAAUCAUACAACCAGAGGAGGUGUCUCUUCCUGUACAAGAGACUGAUCCUGCUGCUUCUUAUAGAUCAGUGGUGUUUGGUGAUCUAACGUAUGACUUCACUUCUAGGACACGCAACCCGGAUCAGAACAUUGUGUUCAGGCCCCAUAGACAGAUGACGGCUGGUGGCAACAACUGACCUGGUGGAGUACGGACAGUCAAUGGAUCGUGAUGGUGCUCGCUGGCAUGAUGCUCUGUCUGUUGGGAAAAAUGCUAGUUUGAUUCAAAUCAGGAGCAGUGAGCAGUAUUUUAUUUUAGUAUUUCAUAUAAAAUUAUAUCAGUAUUUUCGAUGAAAUACAUAAUUUCAUUAUUAUUCAAUUUCAAUUUAUUUAAUUACUAUUUUUUGUAGUAAAGUAUUUAAUAAUUUAUUGUACAAAAUACUGAAUGUAUAUAAUAAAUUAUAUGUUAUAUUUAUGGCACGGUUACUCAGUGGUUAGCACGGCUGCCUCACAGCAAGAAGGUUCUGGCUGUCCCCGGUCUUUUCUUUGUGGAGUUAGCCUGUUCUCCCCGUGUCUGCAUGGGUUUUUUACCAGGUACACCGGUUUCCCCCACCAUCAAAAAACAUGUACUUUAGGUUAAUACACCUGUUGGUGCUCCUCACCAAGACCAGAGUUAAGUUUCCAAGCAUUGCAGGUGGCUGCUCACUGCUCCAUAGUGAAUCAAUAAAAUACAGAGGAUAAUUUUACUGUUCAAUGUACAUUUGACAAUAAAGAAUAAUUCCUCUA